Molecule: ribosomal RNA, 117 nt
Filed under: Sinocyclocheilus anshuiensis
Lineage: Eukaryota; Metazoa; Chordata; Actinopteri; Cypriniformes; Cyprinidae
Source: RNAcentral
AGCCACAGCCAUAUCACCCUGCAGCCCAAGACUGGUUGCCCACUGAAGCUAAGCAGGUUUGAGCCUGGUCAGUACCUGGAUGGGAGACCUCCUAGGAAAACUAGGUUGCUGUUGGAA